CCUACGGGUGGCAGCAGUGAGGAAUAUUGGUCAAUGGGCGGGAGCCUGAACCAGCCAAGCAGCGUGAAGGAAGAAGGCGCCAGGCGUCGUAAACUUCUUUUGUCGGGGAAUAAAGGGCGCCACGUGUGGCGUUGUGAGUGUACCCGAAGAAAAAGCAUCGGCUAACUCCGUGCCAGCAGCCGCGGUAAUACGGAGGAUGCGAGCGUUAUCCGGAUUUAUUGGGUUUAAAGGGUGCGUAGGCGGGUCGUGAAGUCAGCCGUUAAAGGCUGGGGCUUAACCCCGGCCGGGCCGUUGAAACUGUCGGACUAGAGACGGCGAGAAGUACGCGGAAUGCGCGGUGUAGCGGUGAAAUGCAUAGAUAGCGCGAAGAACUCCGAUUGCGAAGGCAGCGUACCGGCGCCGGACUGACGCUGAGGCACGAAAGCGUGGGUAUCGAACAGGAUUAGAUACCCUGGUAGUC
This 460-nucleotide ribosomal RNA is filed under the name uncultured bacterium. Its description in RNAcentral is "partial 16S ribosomal RNA". It matches the Rfam family "Bacterial small subunit ribosomal RNA", at positions 338 to 795 of the family's 1533-position model. The record is from RNAcentral.